CACUAUACAUACAGAGCUCCUUCAACUAUACAUACAGAGCUCCAUCAUACAGAGCUCCCUGCACUGUACAUACAGAGCUCCAUCAUACAGAGCCCCCUGCACUGUACAUACAGAGCUCCAUCAUACAGAGCUCCCUGCACUAUACAUAUAGAGCUCCAUCAUACAGAGCCCCCUGCACUGUACAUACAGAGCUCCAUCAUACAGAGCUCCCUGCACUAUACAUACAGAGCUCCAUCAUACAGAGCUCAAUGCACUAUACAUACAGAGCUCCCUGCACUAUACAAAGCUCCAUCAUACAGAGCUCCCUGCACUAUACAUACAGAGCUCCAUCAUACAGAGCUCCCUGCACUAUACAUACAGAGCUCCUUCAACUAUACAUACAGAGCUCCCUGCACUAUAUAUACAGAGCUCCAUUAUACAGAGCUCCUUCAACUAUACAUACAGAGCUCCCUGCACUAUACAUACAGAGCUCCAUCAUACAGAGCUCCCUGCACUAUACAUACAGAGCUCCAUCAUACAGAGCUCCCUGCACUAUACAUACAGAGCUCCCUGCACUAUACAUGCAGAGCUCCAUUAUACAAAGCUCCCUGCACUAUACAUACAGAGCUCCAUCAUACAGAGCUCCCUACACUAUACAUACAGAGCUCCAUCAUACAGAGAUCCCUGCACUAUACAUACAGAGCUCCAUUAUACAAAGCCCCCUGCACUAUACAUACAGAGCUCCAUCAUACAGAGCUCCCUACACUAUACAUACAGAGCUCCACCAUACAGAGCUCCCUGCACUAUACAUACAGAGCUCCUUCAACUAUACAUACAGAGCUCCAUCAUACAGAGCUCCCUGCACUAUACAUACAGAGCUCCACCAUACAGAGCUCCCUGAACUAUACAUACAGAGCUCCUUCAACUAUACAUACAGAGCUCCAUCAUACAGAGCUCCCUGCACUAUACAUACAGAGCUCCAUCAUACAGAGCUCCCUGCACUAUACAUACAGAGCUCCAUCAUACAGAGCUCCUUCAACUAUACAUACAGUGCUCCAUCAUACAGAGCUCCCUGCACUAUACAUACCGAGCUCCAUCAUACAGAGCUCCCUGCACUAUACAUACAGAGCUCCAUCAUACAGAGCUCCCUGCACUAUACAAACAGAGCUCCACCAUACAGAGCUCCCUGCACUAUACAUACAGAGCUCCUUCAACUAUACAUACAGUGCUCCAUCAUACAGAGCUCCCUGCACUAUACAUACCGAGCUCCAUCAUACAGAUCUCCCUGCACUAUACAUACAGAGCUCCAUCAUACAGAGCUCCCUGCACUAUACAUACAGAGCUCCACCAUACAGAGCCCCCUGCACUGUAUAUACAGAGCUCCAUCAUACAGAGCUCCCUGCACUAUACAUACAGAGCUCCAUCAUACAGAGCCCCCUGCACUGUACAUACAGAGCUCCCUGCACUAUACAUACAGAGCUCCAUCAUACAGAGCCCCCUGCACUAUACAUACAGAGCUCCCUGCACUAUAUAUACAGAGCUCCAUUAUACAGAGCUCCCUGCACUGUAAUACAGAGCUCCAACAUACAGAGCUCCCUACACUAUACAUACAGAGCUCCAUCAAACAGAGCUCCCUGCACUAUACAUACAGAGCUCCAUCAUACAGAGCUCCCUGCACUAUACAUACAGAGCUCCAUCAUACAGAGCUCCCUGCACUAUACAUACAGAGCUCCCUGCACUAUAUAUACAGAGCUCCAUUAUACAGAGCUCCCUGCAAUGUAAUACAGAGCUCCAUCAAACAGAGCUCCCUGCACUAUACAUACAGAGGUCCUUCAAAUAUACAUACAGAGCUCCAUCAUACAGAGCUCCCUGCACUAUACAUACAGAGCUCCAUCAUACAGAGCUCCUUCAACUAUACAUACAGAGCUCCAUCAUACAGUGCACCCUGCACUAUACAUACAGAGCUCCAUCAUACAGGGCUCCCUGCACUAUACAUACAGAGCUCCAUUAUACAAACCCCCUGCACUAUACAUACAGAGCUCCAUCAUACAGAGCUCCCUACACUAUACAUACAGAGCUCCACCAUACAGAGCUCCCUGCACUAUACAUACAGAGCUCCUUCAACAAUACAUACAGAGCUCCUUCAACUAUACAUACAGUGCUCCAUCAUACAGAGCUCCCUGCACUAUACAUACCGAGCUCCAUCAUACAGAGCUCCCUGCACUAUACAUACAGAGCUCCAUCAUACAGAGCUCCCUGCACUAUACAUACAGAGCUCCACCAUACAGAGCUCCCUGCACUAUACAUACAGAGCUUCUUCAACUAUACAUACAGAGCUCCAUCAUACAGAGCUCCCUGCACUAUAUAUACAGAGCUCCAUUAUACAGAGCCCCCUGCACUGUACAUACAGAGCUCCAUCAUACAGAGCCCCCUGCACUGUACAUACAGAGCUCC
Molecule: long non-coding RNA, 2433 nt
Filed under: Pelobates cultripes (western spadefoot toad)
Lineage: Eukaryota; Metazoa; Chordata; Amphibia; Anura; Pelobatidae
Source: RNAcentral